This 447-nucleotide ribosomal RNA is filed under the name uncultured bacterium. RNAcentral describes it as "bacterial SSU rRNA". It matches the Rfam family "Bacterial small subunit ribosomal RNA", at positions 29 to 477 of the family's 1533-position model. The record is from RNAcentral.
AGCGAACGUUUGCGGCGGGCCUAACACAUGCAAGUCGAACGCACUAGCAAUAGUGAGUGGCGCACGGGUGCGUAACACGUGGGUAAUCAACCCUUCAGCCUGGGAUAACGACUCGAAAGGGUCGCUAAUACCGGAUACGGCGCGAGAGGCUUCGGCUUCUCACGAGAAAGCCACGCAAGGGGCACUGAAGGACGAGCCUGCGGCCCAUCAGCUAGUUGGUGAGGUAAGAGCUCACCAAGGCUAAGACGGGUAGCUGGUCUGAGAGGAUGAUCAGCCACACUGGAACUGAGACACGGUCCAGACUCCUACGGGAGGCAGCAGUGGGGAAUAUUGCGCAAUGGGCGAAAGCCUGACGCAGCCACGCCGCGUGAGCGAUGAAGGCCUUCGGUCGUAAGACUCUGUGGGAGGAGACGAAGAAAGACCUGUGAAGAGCAGGCCUUGACGGUA